GAGUUUGAUCGUGGCUCAGGACGAACGCUGGCGGCGCGCCUAACACAUGCAAGUCGAACGGAGUUAUUUCAGCUGAAGCUUUCGGGUGGACGCAGGAAUAACUUAGUGGCGAACGGGUGAGUAACACGUGAGGAACCUGCCCUGGAGUGGGGGACAGCAGUUGGAAACGACUGCUAAUACCGCAUAAGCCCACAGCACCGCAUGGUGCAGAGGGAAAAGGAGCAAUUCGCUUCAGGAUGGCCUCGCGUCCAAUUAGGUAGAUGGUGAGGUAACGGCCCACCAUGCCGACGAUUGGCAGCCGGACUGAGAGGUUGAACGGCCACAUUGGAACUGAGACACGGUCCAAACUCCUACGGGAGGCAGCAGUGGGGAAUAUUGCACAAGUGGGACGAAAGCCUGAUGCAGCAACGCCGCGUGAGUGA
RNAcentral lists this ribosomal RNA (422 nucleotides) under uncultured bacterium. Its description in RNAcentral is "bacterial SSU rRNA". It matches the Rfam family "Bacterial small subunit ribosomal RNA", at positions 9 to 408 of the family's 1533-position model. The record is from RNAcentral.